RNAcentral lists this ribosomal RNA (468 nucleotides) under uncultured bacterium. Its description in RNAcentral is "partial 16S ribosomal RNA". It matches the Rfam family "Bacterial small subunit ribosomal RNA", at positions 28 to 507 of the family's 1533-position model. The record is from RNAcentral.
GACGAACGCUGGCGGCGUGCUUAACACAUGCAAGUCGAACGGAAAGGCCCUGCUUUUGUGGGGUGCUCGAGUGGCGAACGGGUGAGUAACACGUGAGUAACCUGCCCUUGACUUUGGGAUAACUUCAGGAAACUGGGGCUAAUACCGGAUAGGAGCUCCUGCUGCAUGGUGGGGGUUGGAAAGUUUCGGCGGUUGGGGAUGGACUCGCGGCUUAUCAGCUUGUUGGUGGGGUAGUGGCUUACCAAGGCGUUGACGGGUAGCCGGCCUGAGAGGGUGACCGGCCACAUUGGGACUGAGAUACGGCCAAGACUCCUACGGGAGGCAGCAGUGGGGAAUAUUGCACAAUGGGCGGAAGCCUGAUGCAGCAACGCCGCGUGCGGGAUGACGGCCUUCGGGUUGUAAACCGCUUUCGCCUGUGACGAAGCGUGAGUGACGGUAAUGGGUAAAGAAGCACCGGCUAACUACGUG